RNAcentral lists this ribosomal RNA (316 nucleotides) under uncultured bacterium. RNAcentral describes it as "bacterial SSU rRNA". It matches the Rfam family "Bacterial small subunit ribosomal RNA", at positions 28 to 334 of the family's 1533-position model. The record is from RNAcentral.
GAUGAACGCUGGCGGCGUGCUUAACACAUGCAAGUCGAACGAAGCACUUUGACCUCUUCGGAGAGAUGAGUGACUGAGUGGCGGACGGGUGAGUAACGCGUGGGUAACCUGCCUCGUACAGGGGGACAACAGUUGGAAACGACUGCUAAUACCGCAUAAGCGCACGGUAUCGCAUGAUACAGUGUGAAAAGCUGAGGCGGUACGAGAUGGACCCGCGUUGGAUUAGCUAGUUGGUGGGGUAACGGCCUACCAAGGCGACGAUCCAUAGCCGACCUGAGAGGGUGACCGGCCACAUUGGGACUGAGACACGGCCCAA